CGUGCGGUUCUAUUUUGUUGGUUUCUAGAGUCGCCGUAAUGAUUAAUAGGGACAGUUGGGGGCAUUGGUAUUCAGGCGCUAGAGGUGAAAUUCUUGGAUCGUCGCAAGACGAGCUACUGCGAAAGCAUUUGCCAAGAAUGUUUUCAUCAAUCAAGAACGAAAGUCUGAGGUUCGAAGGCGAUCAGAUACCGCCCUAGUUCAGACCGUAAACGAUGCCAACUAGCGAUCCGAGGGCGUUAAUUUAUGACUCCUCGGGCAGCUUCCGGGAAACCAAAGUUUUUGGGUUCCGGGGGAAGUAUGGUUGCAAAGCUGAAACUUAAAGGAAUUGACGGAAGGGCACCACCAGGAGUGGAGCCUGCGGCUUAAUUUGACUCAACACGG
Molecule: ribosomal RNA, 381 nt
Filed under: uncultured fungus
Lineage: Eukaryota; Fungi
Description: bacterial SSU rRNA
Rfam family: Eukaryotic small subunit ribosomal RNA
Source: RNAcentral